This 449-nucleotide ribosomal RNA is filed under the name uncultured bacterium. RNAcentral's name for it is "bacterial SSU rRNA". It matches the Rfam family "Bacterial small subunit ribosomal RNA", at positions 330 to 793 of the family's 1533-position model. The record is from RNAcentral.
CCCAGACUCCUACGGGAGGCAGCAGUGGGGAAUAUUGCACAAUGGGGGAAACCCUGAUGCAGCGACGCCGCGUGAGCGAGGAAGUAUUUCGGUAUGUAAAGCUCUGUCAGCAGGGAAGAAGAAUGACGGUACCUGAAGAAGAAGCACCGGCUAAAUACGUGCCAGCAGCCGCGGUAAUACGUAUGGUGCAAGCGUUAUCCGGAUUUACUGGGUGUAAAGGGAGCGCAGGUGGUUCUGCAAGUCUGAUGUGAAAGCCCGGGGCUCAACCGCGGGACUGCAUUGGAAACUGCGGGACUGGAGUGUCGGAGGGGUAAGCGGAAUUCCUGGUGUAGCGGUGAAAUGCGUAGAUAUCAGGAGGAACACCGGUGGCGAAGGCGGCUUACUGGACGAUGACUGACGCUGAGGCUCGAAAGCGUGGGGAGCAAACAGGAUUAGAUACCCCCGUACCG